RNAcentral lists this long non-coding RNA (1415 nucleotides) under Cyanistes caeruleus (blue tit). RNAcentral's name for it is "lncRNA (ENSCCEG00000000661.1)". The record is from RNAcentral. Lineage: Eukaryota; Metazoa; Chordata; Aves; Passeriformes; Paridae.
GUUGCCAGCUCCCCGAGGAGGGUCGGAUCCACGCUGAGCUCCUCCGACUCCUCAGAGCUCUCUUCGGGAUCCUCGGAUUCCUCAGAGCUCUCUUCGGGAUCCUCAGAGCUUUCUUCAGACUCCUCAGAGCUCUCUUCGUGAUCCUCGGACUCCUCGGGGCUCUCUUCGUGAUCUUCAGACUCCUCGGGGCUCUCCUCGUGGUCCUCGGACUCUUCAGGGCUCUCCUCGUGAUCUUCAGACUCCUCGGGGCUCUCUUUGGGAUCCUCAGGACUCUCUUCGUGAUCUUCAGACUCCUCAGGGCUCUCUUCGUGGUCCUCAGACUCCUCAGGACUCUCUUCAGACUCUUCAGGGCUCUCCUCAAAAUCCUCAGACUCCUCAGGGCUCUCCUCAUGAUCUUCAGACUCUUCAGGGCUUUCUUCAGACUCCUCGGACUCCUCAGAGCUCUCUUCGUGGUCCUCGGACUCUUCGGGGCUCUCCUCGUGAUCUUCAGACUCUUCAGGACUCUCCUCGUGAUCUUCAGACUCUUCAGGGCUUUCUUCAUGAUCCUCAGACUCCUCAGGACUCUCUUUGGGAUCCUCAGACUCUUCAGGACUCUCUUCAGACUCCUCAGACUCUUCAGGGCUCUCUUUGGGAUCCUCGGGGCUCUCUUUGGGAUCCUCAGACUCUUCAGGGCUCUCCUCGUGAUCCUCGGACUCUUCAGGGCUCUCUUCAUGAUCCUCGGACUCCUCGGGGCUCUCUUUGGGAUCCUCAGACUCUUCAGGACUCUCUUCAGACUCCUCGGGGCUCUCUUCGUGAUCUUCAGACUCUUCAGGGCUCUCCUCAAAAUCCUCAGACUCUUCAGGGCUCUCUUCAUGAUCCUCAGACUCUUCAGGGCUUUCUUCGUGAUCCUCAGACUCUUCAGGGCUUUCUUCGUGAUCCUCAGACUCCUCGGGGCUCUCUUGAAAAUCCUCGGACUCUUCAGGGCUCUCUUCGUGAUCCUCGGACUCUUCAGGGCUCUCUUUGGGAUCUUCAGACUCUUCAGGGCUCUCUUCAGACUCCUCAGGACUCUCCUCGUGAUCCUCGGGAUCCUCGGGGCUCUCUUUGGGAUCCUCGGACUCUUCAGGGCUCUCUUUGGGAUCCUCAGGACUCUCUUCGUGAUCCUCAGACUCCUCGGGGCUCUCCUCAAAAUCCUCGGACUCCUCGGGGCUCUCUUCAGACUCCUCGGACUCCUCAGGACUCUCUUCGUGAUCCUCGGACUCCUCGGGGCUCUCUUCGGGGUCCAGCAGCCCCAGGGGUUCCCCUUUGGGGUCCAGCAGCCCCAGCAGCCCCAGGGGUUCCCCUUUGGGGUCCAGCAGCCCCAGGGGUUCCCCUUUGGGGUCCAGCAGCCCCAGCAGCCCCAGGGGUUCCCCUUUGGGGUCCAGGAGGUUUCCGAGCUC